UUUGCCUACGGGGGGCAGCAGUGAGGAAUAUUGGUCAAUGGUCGGGAGACUGAACCAGCCAAGCCGCGUGAGGGAGGAAGGUACAGAGUAUCGUAAACCUCUUUUGUCAGGGAACAAAGGCGGGGACGUGUCCCCGGAUGAGUGUACCUGAGGAAAAAGCAUCGGCUAACUCCGUGCCAGCAGCCGCGGUAAUACGGAGGAUGCGAGCGUUAUCCGGAUUUAUUGGGUUUAAAGGGUGCGCAGGCGGUCUGUUAAGUAGGCGGUCAAAACCCGGGGCUCAACCCCGGCCCGCCGUUGAAACUGGG
This 305-nucleotide ribosomal RNA is filed under the name uncultured bacterium. Its description in RNAcentral is "bacterial SSU rRNA". It matches the Rfam family "Bacterial small subunit ribosomal RNA", at positions 334 to 637 of the family's 1533-position model. The record is from RNAcentral.